CAUUAUGCUCAGCCCUAAACUUUGAUAGUCCACUACACCCACUAUCCGCCUGGGAACUACAAGCUCUGGCUUAAAACCCAAAGGACUUGGCGGUGCUUAAGAUCCACCUAGAGGAGCCUGUUCUAGAACCGAUACCCCCCGUUCAACCUCACCCUAUCUUGUUCCUACCGCCUAUAUACCGCCGUCGUCAGCUCACCCUGUGAAGGAUUAGUAGUAAGCAAAAUUGGUAUGACCCAAAACGUCAGGUCGAGGUGUAGCGUAUGAAAGGGAAAGAAAUGGGCUACAUUUCCUAAGCAGGAAAUUACGAACAAUAUGUCUGAAACGUGUAUUAGAAGGAGGAUUUAGCAGUAAAUGAAAAACAGAGUGUUUCAUUGAAACCGGCCCUAAAGCGCGCACACACCGCCCGUCACUCUCCCCGAGACGCGACCUUUUAUACUUAAUUGCCUAAAUAAAAAUAAGGGGAGGCAAGUCGUAA
This 475-nucleotide ribosomal RNA is filed under the name Moolgarda seheli (bluespot mullet). RNAcentral's name for it is "Crenimugil seheli (bluespot mullet) partial small subunit ribosomal RNA". It matches the Rfam family "Bacterial small subunit ribosomal RNA", at positions 788 to 1491 of the family's 1533-position model. The record is from RNAcentral. Lineage: Eukaryota; Metazoa; Chordata; Actinopteri; Mugiliformes; Mugilidae.